This 540-nucleotide ribosomal RNA is filed under the name uncultured Geobacteraceae bacterium. Its description in RNAcentral is "bacterial SSU rRNA". It matches the Rfam family "Bacterial small subunit ribosomal RNA", at positions 9 to 526 of the family's 1533-position model. Lineage: Bacteria; Pseudomonadati; Thermodesulfobacteriota; Desulfuromonadia; Geobacterales; Geobacteraceae. The record is from RNAcentral.
GAGUUUGAUCCUGGCUCAGAACGAACGCUGGCGGCGUGCCUAACACAUGCAAGUCGAACGUGAUCCAGAGCUUGCUCUGGUGAAAGUGGCGCACGGGUGAGUAACGCGUGGAUAACCUACCCUGGUAUCAGGGAUAACAUUCCGAAAGGGGCGCUAAUACCGGAUAAGCCCACGGGCUCUUUGGAGCUUGCGGGAAAAGGUGGCCUCUAUUUAUAAGCUACUGUAUCAGGAUGGGUCCGCGUACCAUUAGCUAGUUGGCGGUGUAACGGACCACCAAGGCGAUGAUGGUUAGCUGGUCUGAGAGGAUGAUCAGCCACACUGGAACUGAGACACGGUCCAGACUCCUACGGGAGGCAGCAGUGGGGAAUUUUGCGCAAUGGGGGAAACCCUGACGCAGCAACGCCGCGUGAGUGAUGAAGGCCUUUGGGUCGUAAAGCUCUGUCAGAGGGGAAGAAAUGAUAUAGUGCUAAUACCACUUUAUCUUGACGGUACCCUCAAAGGAAGCACCGGCUAACUCCGUGCCAGCAGCCGCGGUAAUAC